This 472-nucleotide ribosomal RNA is filed under the name uncultured bacterium. RNAcentral describes it as "bacterial SSU rRNA". It matches the Rfam family "Bacterial small subunit ribosomal RNA", at positions 44 to 507 of the family's 1533-position model. The record is from RNAcentral.
AGGCCUAACACAUGCAAGUCGAGCGGAAACGAUCCUAGCUUGCUAGAAGAUGACGAGCGGCGGACGGGUGAGUAACGCGUAGAAAUCUACCUAGUAGUGGGGGAUAGCCCAGAGAAAUUUGGAUUAAUACCGCAUACGCCCUACGGGGGAAAGCGGGGGAUCUUCGGACCUCGUGCUAUUAGAUGAGUCUGCGUCGGAUUAGCUUGUUGGUGAGGUAAUGGCUCACCAAGGCGACGAUCCGUAGCUGGUCUGAGAGGAUGACCAGCCACACUGGAACUGAGACACGGUCCAGACUCCUACGGGAGGCAGCAGUGGGGAAUAUUGCACAAUGGGCGCAAGCCUGAUGCAGCCAUGCCGCGUGUGUGAAGAAGGCCUUAGGGUUGUAAAGCACUUUCAGCAGUGAGGAAAGGGGUGUCGUUAAUAGCGCCAUCCUGUGACGUUAACUGCAGAAGAAGGACCGGCUAACUCCGUG